UACGGAGGGUGCAAGCGUUAUCCGGAUUCACUGGGUUUAAAGGGUGCGUAGGCGGGCAAGUAAGUCAGUGGUGAAAUCUCCGGGCUUAACCCGGGAACUGCCAUUGAUACUAUUUGUCUUGAAUACUGUGGAGGUCAGCGGAAUAUGUCAUGUAGCGGUGAAAUGCUUAGAUAUGACAUAGAACACCAAUUGCGAAGGCAGCUGGCUACACAAAUAUUGACACUGAGGCACGAAAGCGUGGGGAUCAAACAGG
This 253-nucleotide ribosomal RNA is filed under the name uncultured bacterium. RNAcentral describes it as "partial 16S ribosomal RNA". It matches the Rfam family "Bacterial small subunit ribosomal RNA", at positions 524 to 776 of the family's 1533-position model. The record is from RNAcentral.